UCGGCCUCCCAAAGUGCUGGGAUUACAGGUGUGAGCCACCGCACUCAGCCUGUAAUCUGAUUUAGAACACAGUGGCCACUUUCCUCUAAUAGCCUUCCUUUCCUCUGGUCUCUUUGUCCCUCCCUCCGUCUGUCCUAAGUGCAGCUGCUCUGUUAAUUUUCCUCACACAUGUCUGACCCCACACAUCUGUUAUCUUCAGUACCUUGUAGGUAAUUCAUUGCUCAACAGAGUUAAUGGACGAUCCAGGCUGGGACUGCCCAGAUGAAAGCUGAGUCACUCCUGACAGCUCCCAGGCCCUGCCCUGUCCUCUGUUAGUACUGCUGCAUUCUCACCUGCCUGUACGGUUUCUCCUCCCAGUGAACCUGAGCUUUUUGGGGGCAACUAUGAAGAGGCCGUUGAUCUCUGCUUCCUCAGCACCAGCACUUCUAGGAGGCAUUGGGAAGGGGCUGACUCAUGAAGGGGAAGCUGAGUCAAUACGGGGAAGCCAGUGGACUCGGUGGUGCCAUGCCCUUGGUGUGAGUCUUUCUUCUCUGCAGUUACUGACUGAAGCAUCAGCAUUUGCUUGGUAUCCCAUCUUGUGUGUCUUGGGUCAGUGAUGAUUCUUCAACCGAUCUCUUUAGGAACUAGCAGAGUAUCUCAUAAGGAAACUGGUGAUGGCACCGUACAAAUUAGCACACAAUAAAUGAAUAUCACCAUAAAGAAAAACACUGUAUUUCAAAAGCAUAUCAGAAACACAGCAAUCAAAGAGUUUUGAAAAUGAACAGCCAGUGGUUGCCAAGGUGUGGAGGUUGCCAAGGUGUGGAGGUCGCCAAGGCAUGGAGGUCACCACAGUGUGGAAGUUGUCAUUUGCCCCUGGGGGCAGGAGUGUGAAUGGAUACAACCUUUCAGAGGGCAGUCUGACAACGCAUAUCAUAAAUCUGUAAAUGCUCAUACUCUUUGGCAAAGAGAUUCUACUUCUAGGAAUAUAUCCUAGUGAACUAUUGAGAGUCUGUGCAAAAAAAAAUGAGCAGCAAGGAGUUUUUCACAGUGUUAUUUAUAACAGGGAAAUAUUUAAUGUCCAAUAAUAGAUUGACUAUUUAAAUGAUCACAUAUUUCUCAAAUGGAAUACUACAGCAUUAAACAUUAUUUUAGAAGAACAUUUAAUAAUCUGGAAAGACAUCCAUAGUAUUUUAAAUAAAAAAGCAGAUUGCAAAACUGGAA
Macaca mulatta (Rhesus monkey) is the source of this 1200-nucleotide non-coding RNA. NCBI's taxonomy places the organism in Eukaryota, Metazoa, Chordata, Mammalia, Primates, Cercopithecidae. The record is from RefSeq and is a predicted model, not a curated record.